This 375-nucleotide ribosomal RNA is filed under the name Triticum aestivum (bread wheat). Its description in RNAcentral is "partial small subunit ribosomal RNA". Lineage: Eukaryota; Viridiplantae; Streptophyta; Magnoliopsida; Poales; Poaceae. The record is from RNAcentral.
AUGCCGGUGUCUGUGCUGGUUCUCGUGGCAUUGGUCGUGGUCUGCCUGUCCGCCAACGGGGCGGCGGCGCAGCAGGCGAGCGGCGUGGCUGCAACGUACAACCUGUACAGCCCAGAGAAGAUCAACUGGGACCUGCACGGCGCCAGCGUCUUCUGCGCGACGUGGGACGCCGACAUGCCGCUGGCGUGGCGGCAGAGGUACGGCUGGACGGCGUUCUGCGGCCCCGCCGGCGCGCACGCGAGGGUGGUGGACCAGUGCGGCAACGGCGGGCUCGACCUUGACGCCGCCGUGUUCCAGCAGAUCGACACCAACGGAGGCGGCGCCGCCAACGGCCACCUCGUCGUCGACUAUGAGUUCGUCGGCUGCCAAGACUAA